UACGUAGGGACCAAGCGUUGUUCGGGUUUACUGGGCGUAAAGGGCGCGUAGGCGGCAAAUUAAGUCAUCUGUGAAAUCUCCGAGCUUAACUCGGAACGGUCAGGUGAUACUGAUCUGCUAGAGUGCGGAAGGGGCAAUCGGAAUUCUUGGUGUAGCGGUGAAAUGCGUAGAUAUCAAGAGGAACACCUGAGGUGAAGACGGGUUGCUGGGCCGACACUGACGCUGAGGAGCGAAAGCAUGGGGAGCAAACAGG
Molecule: ribosomal RNA, 253 nt
Filed under: uncultured bacterium
Lineage: Bacteria
Description: partial 16S ribosomal RNA
Rfam family: Bacterial small subunit ribosomal RNA
Source: RNAcentral